CAUUCUCCCCAUCCUCUUUUGUUCUAGUGCAUGGCAUGGGAAGCCCUCUCUAGGAGGAUGCUGUGGCCACACAAGCGCUGGACGAACCGCUGGAGUAGGUGACUUCCAAGGUGUCCUAAUGUAGUAGCUAUUAGACCAGCUCCUGCAUUUGGCCAGUAAUUAGCGUGCUGCUGCACAUUGCCACUAGGUGGUGCUGCUGCUCCAUCCCAACUAACCACAUGCAUCCCUGGCUGGGGUCAGCCUUGGGGUUUCCCAAGUGUAGAGGAAUCCAUCUCUGUGCCUGUGGUAAUGGCUGGACACCAGGAGAGACCCAGAAAACAGGGAUAUUCCUAGAAGAGAAAGGCAAAAUAAGCACUCAGAGCAGAGGACGUUUGAGUGUCAAUAAUGAAGGUGGCAGCAGUAAUCAUGGCUAUCAUUUACUAAAAAUAGUGGAUAUUCGCCAGACAUGGUAGCUCACACCUGUAAUCCCAGCACUUUGGGAGACCAAGGUGGGUGGAUCACUUGAGGUCAGGAGUUCGAGACCAGCCUGGCCAACAUGGUGAAACUAUCUACUAAAAAUACAAAAAUUAGCCAGGUGUGGUGGUGCAUGCCUGUAGUCCCAGCUACUUGGGAGGCUGAGGAAGGAGAAUCACUUGAACCUGGGAGGCGGAGGCUGUAGUGAGCUGAGAUCACGCCACUGCACUCCAGCCUGGACAACAGAGCAAGACUGUCUAAAAAAAAAAGUAGAUAUUGUGCUAGUCACUUGAUACACAUUAUCUCUGAUCUUUGCACCAAGCGAGGCAUGUGUAUUAUGUCUGCAUUACAAAAGGGGAAAAAUUAAGGUUCAAGAAGAUAAAGUGGCCAGGCAUGGUGGCGCAUGCGUGUAAUCGCAGCACUUUAAGAGGCUGAGACAGGCGGAUUGGUUGAACCCAGGAGUUCAAGACCAGCCUGGGCAACAUAGUGAGACCUCAUCUCUACAAAAAAAUAAAAUUAGCUGGGUGUGGUGGUGCGUGCCUGUAGUCACAGCUGUUCGGGAGGCUGAUGUGGAAGGAUCACUUGAGCCCGGGAGAUAGAGGCUGCAGUGAGAUGAGACUGAGCCAUUGCACUCAGCCUAGGCAACAGAGUGAGACCCUGUCUCAAAACAAAACAGAAAUAACAAAAAAUAAGGUGACUUGCUUGAGGCCACAUGGCUGUGAGCCAAAUACAGAUCUGGGUUACCAGGGCUCACAUACUUCUAAGUACACCCUACUGCCUUGGAAUCUGCUGAAGACCAAGCCCCUGCCCCCAAGCCAUGGCAAAGGAGGAGGGAAGGAAGCAAAGGUGCCCAGUGGGGACAACUCGGGGAGGGGGGAGGUGCCCAGGGCCCAGGAAGGCCAAGCAGCAUGUGGCAGGGCAGCAUCAGGUGACACCCAAGAAGGAAUGAGGAGAGGAUGUGAGGAAAGAGCCACAGCACAGAGGCCUGCUGUUAGGUCAGUGGAGACCACGGCCCAUGGGACCUGGAUCUACCCUUGAUGCUAAUAAUAUUCUUUGGGGAAAAAAACUAUAAUCACAAAGUUUCUGCAACUGGACUGUAGUCAUGGUUGCAGAACUGUAUAGAUUUACUAGGAACCAUCAAAUCGUUCACUUACAAUGGGUAAAUUGUACAGUACAUAGGUUAUCCCUCAGUAAAGCUGUAUGAAAUUUAUAGUCAUGAAACCAAUAGUGACAAGGGAGCUGGGUAAGUGGUCUCAGCCGUGCUGUAGGCACUUUGAGAAGAGGAAGAGUGGCAUCUCUGGUUUAAUGAAAGAAAGCCUGGCCCAUGGCGUCCAGCUUCUGCUUGAAUACUUUCAGUGCCUGGGAGCUCAGUACCUCAAAGCAGCCCACUCUGGUUUAAGAUCACUCUCUAAUCCUUAGAAUGUUGAAAUACAUCAUUGUUAUUCUUAUACUGCUGUGAAAAAUAAAUGUCUUUGUUUUGCCACAU
Molecule: small RNA, 1939 nt
Filed under: Pongo abelii (Sumatran orangutan)
Lineage: Eukaryota; Metazoa; Chordata; Mammalia; Primates; Hominidae
Description: retained intron
Source: RNAcentral